This 296-nucleotide small nuclear RNA is filed under the name Erinaceus europaeus (western European hedgehog). Its description in RNAcentral is "7SK RNA". It matches the Rfam family "7SK RNA". From Rfam's summary of the family: 7SK was discovered as an abundant small nuclear RNA in the mid-70s but a possible function has only recently been suggested. Two independent studies have found that 7SK RNA binds the CDK9/cyclin T complex (known as elongation factor P-TEFb). P-TEFb activates transcription by phosphorylating the C-terminal domain of RNA polymerase II. Lineage: Eukaryota; Metazoa; Chordata; Mammalia; Eulipotyphla; Erinaceidae. The record is from Rfam by way of RNAcentral.
GGAUGCAAGGGCAAUCUGGCUACAGUAGCUGUCACCCCGGUGAUCACCAGGAUUGACUGGGCUGAUCUGGCUGGCUAGGCGGGUGUCCCCUUCCUCCUUCACCACUCCAUGUGUGUGGCUGCUGAAGCUGUGCACUGAAUAACCUUCUCCAGAAGAGAGACCGACCGGUCUUCAGUUGAGGGUAUAUGAGUAGCUACACUCUCCUGCUAGAACCUUCAAAGAAGCCCUCACAUGUCAUUCUAUUUGUAGAGGCUUGUUUAUUUAUUUAUUCCCUUUUGUUGCCCUUGUUGUUUUAU